Ribosomal RNA from Meriones unguiculatus (Mongolian gerbil), 124 nucleotides. NCBI's taxonomy places the organism in Eukaryota, Metazoa, Chordata, Mammalia, Rodentia, Muridae. The record is from Ensembl.
GCCCCUGGCCAUACUUCCCUGAACACUCCCAAUCUUCCCUGAUCUUGGAGCUAAGCAGGGUCAGGCCUGGGUGGUACGUGGAUGGGUAAAGGGAUGACAGCAUGGAAGGAAUGGCUGCAGGGCU